UAAAGCCCAGCACUUGUGAGAGUGCUGUAACAGAGAGAAACAGAGCGUCCCUCCCAUCCUGUCUACAGAUGACGCCUGGAACACUGUCUGCCGACUUGUGGUUUACCAACCAGUGUGGGCAAUUGAGCCUAAUGGAACGGCAAAGGUCAUCAUAACAAACCAUUACAGUCUUCGACUUGGCUACGCCGGCCACAGAAGAACCUCCAAGAAACCGUCAUCAUUCCUCCAAUGUUAUGGCAUCCAGACGACAGGGAUGCCUCGCAAAUGAGUCAUCCGGGCUCAGAUCCGCAGUAGCUCCGUGAGUGCAGCGCAAUCAAUUAUUCAUGUGUUUACAGAGAGCUUUCCUGGUUGAUGUUAACCAGAAAUGCCUGCAAAGGACAGCUCUCCAGCUGCCCUCGGCCAUCCUGGGGCCUCCAACUAACAAGUCACUUUAAUGGCUGGAGAAGCCAUCUGGGAAGAUGAGCCUCCCCAGCCCAGGCCCUGAGACUUUAUUAGGUGCAAAAAUAUUAAUCAGGGAUAAUUAUGACAAUACUUUAUAUACAGGACUCUCAGAAAAAUCCUAAAGAGGGUGAGAGAAGGUGGGCCUGACCCGGAACCCAUUAGGCUCAAUGGGGACUGGACUAUUGAAGACUCAGCUCAGGGAUGGAUGCAUGGAGAGCCAAAGAGGAGAGAAUGAAGGGAGAGAACUGGAGGCUGUGAGUCCCAGUGUGGAGUGCUCUGUGAAGGCUUCCCAUGAAUCCACCACUCCUGUUGACCGGAACUCCUGGGAUCUGCCACAAGCUCCCCUGAAUACCAGAAUGGCAUCUCUUGAGGGGCCAAAGAAAACACCAGCGUGUCCUUACACGGACCUUCCCGGAGCCUCCAGAUGGGCUGUUGUGUCUUUGAAGAAUACUGAGGCUCGCUGGACUUCUCAAACAUAUUGCUCCAUGGCAUUCUUUUUCAAGAACAGAACCCCCCCCCCACCCCCACCCCCACCCA
Mus musculus (house mouse) is the source of this 978-nucleotide long non-coding RNA. RefSeq annotates it as predicted gene, 51725. The record is from RefSeq and is a predicted model, not a curated record. The transcript is spliced from 3 exons. NCBI's taxonomy places the organism in Eukaryota, Metazoa, Chordata, Mammalia, Rodentia, Muridae.